This 208-nucleotide long non-coding RNA is filed under the name Prunus persica (peach). Its description in RNAcentral is "long non-coding RNA (PPER_LNC001792)". Lineage: Eukaryota; Viridiplantae; Streptophyta; Magnoliopsida; Rosales; Rosaceae. The record is from RNAcentral.
ACUUCGAACAACGCUAUGGCGACCAAUCUGCGCCGGAGCACACCUCAACCAACUGAUUCUUCGCCCAACACGAUUCACGGCCUAUUUCAUUUUUUUGGACAAGUAGAGGAGCCACACCCACGAUAUGCUUCCUCCUUAGUGAUGAAUCAACGCCUCUAUGAAGGAAAGCCCACUGCUCCCUCGUUUUUUAGAUGCUCGGUCAUUUUUC